AGCCUGUGGGAUUAGCUGCCACAAACAGUGCAAGAGCCUGUUGGUGGUCGAGUGUCGGAAACGCACCAAGAGUAUCUGCCUGGACAGUCCAAACCCCACCCUCAGGAGGUCCUUCAGCUUCCCCGUCACAAACUCCAGCCCUGACUCUUCCAAUACAGUGACUGAGGAGGAAGUCGAAGACCUGGAGGAUGAUGUGCAAGAUAUCCAUCUUUGAACUACAGCCCAAAACCGGCUCCAGCCCUGAAGGGUAUCGAGGUGGGAUCGCUGACCAUCUCCCAUGCUCAACGUUGGCCAUGCCUCUCUCCUGCUCCCUGAGCGACAUUCCGUCUUUGGCUGGGAUUCGGGGAGCGGGUGGGACCGACACUGAGCCAUCGAUGGCCUUGCGGUGGUGGGCCGGCGUGGUGGGCAGACUGGACAAAAUGACAAUGCGGGGGGGGGGAUGGGGGGGAGGGGUGCGCGUUUCCUGAGCCUCCGGUAGGAACCAACUGGAUUUGCCUGUCUGCCGUUACCUACUCCUGUUCAUUUCUCCGCUGCUAAUUGUCACCCUCUGCCUGUUUGGGGGUGGCCAGGGAGGAAGGAUGGACUUGGAGGCCACACCAUCUUCGUCCUGUGUGGAAGUCUCCAGAUUGGCCAACUCGCAUUCUUAUGGCACUCGCCAGAGUGAUGAGUUGCAAGCUUGCGAUUCACCACACCAUCCUGGGGCUUGAGAGUUGGCCUCCAUGGUUAGAUCGCCCUAUUCAAGCUCUCAGUCCAGCAUUGAGGUGAAAUAUUCCAACAGGGCUGCACUGGCCAGAGUCAGCAAGUCCCUUCAUUCUUCAAUGUUGAGAACGAAUGGCUUCAGGGAUCCUGCCUCACCUUAGGCCUCUCAGUGCACACAGCCCUUGCUUAAAAUCAAACUGUCCUCCAGCAGAAGGCCACCCCCUCCUAAAUCACCCAUGACAGAAGGCUCCCCCACCUCCUCCAGCUUAAUUUAAAUCUGAUUAGCUCUUGUCACCCCUCCUCUGUCACUUUUUCCCAAGUUAGCCUCACCUUUUGUGAGUUUGAACAAUCACCUCCUGAACUUCCCUUUCCCAAGCGGUAUCGAUCGCAAGUUGUCCAGUCUCUCUGCAUUCCCAGCAUCCCUCAUCCGUCCAAAUCCUCUCCAAGGCCUUUGGCGUCCUUCCUAAAGAACUGGGACCGCAGGAGAACGUAGACCCUCAACAUUUCUGCGCCUCUCCACCCAAUUAUUUUCACUUUAUGUCGGCCAUUUAGUUUGGUCUCCUUUAACCUGAGACGUGGAGCCCGAGGUGUGGGCCUGACGUUUGUCACAAAGGGACAAUCUUUGAGCUUCGGGAGCCUUCCCUGACUUCUAUGGCCAUCGUUUUUGAGCUCGUCUGUGUACAUUUUCUUCCUGAUCCCCUAAAGGAGGGUGGGUUACGAAGUAAAAUCCAGCUUCAAAAAGCGUCCGUCGUAUUAUCCCUCCAGCCCUUGGCAGCUGGCCCGAGGCAUUUGAUCGGGAUGCACUGGCUCGGGCCUUGUCCAUGAGUUUUAAUAAAGUGUCAAUGGUGAUUUAA
Long non-coding RNA from Rhincodon typus (whale shark), 1553 nucleotides. RefSeq lists it as uncharacterized. The record is from RefSeq and is a predicted model, not a curated record. The transcript has 3 exons. NCBI's taxonomy places the organism in Eukaryota, Metazoa, Chordata, Chondrichthyes, Orectolobiformes, Rhincodontidae.